CGCAAGCCGGAUCCACCCUUUCCGCGUGGGUGAAGAAGCCCUUCGGGUGGUAAACCCCUUUUGUUGGGAAAGAAAUCCAGCUGGCUAAUCCCCGGUUGGGAUGUCGGUACCCAAAGAAUAAGCACCGAAUAACUUUGUGACAGCAGCCGCGGUAAUACGAAGGGCGCAAGCGUUACUUGGAAUUACUGGGCGUAAAGCGUGCGUAGGUGGUCGUUUAAGUCCGUUGUGAAAGCCCUGGGCUCAACCUGGGAACUGCAGUGGAUUCUGGGCGACUAGAGUGUGGUAGAGGGUUGCGGAAUGCCCGGUGUAGCAGAGAAA
This 318-nucleotide ribosomal RNA is filed under the name uncultured Stenotrophomonas sp. RNAcentral's name for it is "bacterial SSU rRNA". It matches the Rfam family "Bacterial small subunit ribosomal RNA", at positions 376 to 686 of the family's 1533-position model. The record is from RNAcentral. Lineage: Bacteria; Pseudomonadati; Pseudomonadota; Gammaproteobacteria; Lysobacterales; Lysobacteraceae.